Oncorhynchus keta (chum salmon) is the source of this 254-nucleotide long non-coding RNA. RefSeq lists it as uncharacterized. The transcript has 4 exons. The record is from RefSeq and is a predicted model, not a curated record. Lineage: Eukaryota; Metazoa; Chordata; Actinopteri; Salmoniformes; Salmonidae.
UCCCCUGAACAAGGCAGUUGACCCACUGUUCCCCUGAACAAGGCAGUUGACCCACUGUUCCCCUGAACAAGGCAGUUAACCCACUGUUCCCCUGAACAAGGCAGUUGACCCACUGUUCCCCUGAACAAGGCAGUUGACCCACUGUUCCCCUGAACAAGGCAGUUGACCCACUGUUCCCCUGAACAAGGCAGUUGACCCACUGUUCCCCUGAACAAGGCAGUUAACCCACUGUUCCCCUGAACAAGGCAGUUGAC